ACACUCCUACGGGAGGCAGCAGUGGGGAAUUUUGGACAAUGGGCGAAAGCCUGAUCCAGCAAUGCCGCGUGAGUGAAGAAGGCCUUCGGGUUGUAAAGCUCUUUUGUCAGGGAAGAAACGGUGAGAGCUAAUAUCUUUUGCUAAUGACGGUACCUGAAGAAUAAGCACCGGCUAACUACGUGCCAGCAGCCGCGGUAAUACGUAGGGUGCAAGCGUUAAUCGGAAUUACUGGGCGUAAAGCGUGCGCAGGCGGUUUUGUAAGUCUGAUGUGAAAUCCCCGGGCUCAACCUGGGAAUUGCAUUGGAGACUGCAAGGCUAGAAUCUGGCAGAGGGGGGUAGAAUUCCACGUGUAGCAGUGAAAUGCGUAGAUAUGUGGAGGAACACCGAUGGCGAAGGCAGCCCCCUGGGUCAAGAUUGACGCUCAUGCACGAAAGCGUGGGGAGCAAACAGGAUUAGAAACCCCAGUAGUCCCAUG
Molecule: ribosomal RNA, 475 nt
Filed under: uncultured organism
Description: partial 16S ribosomal RNA
Rfam family: Bacterial small subunit ribosomal RNA
Source: RNAcentral